UGAGGAAUAUUGGUCAAUGGGCGCAAGCCUGAACCAGCCAUCCCGCGUGCAGGAAGACGGCCCUAUGGGUUGUAAACUGCUUUUCCAGGGGGAGAAUUUUUCUGUCGUGACAGGAAUUGACGGUACCCUGGGAAUAAGCAUCGGCUAACUCCGUGCCAGCAGGCGCGGUAAUAUGGAGGAUGCGAGCGUUAUCCGGAUUUAUUGGGUUUAAAGGGUGCGUAGGCGGAUUGAUAAGUCAGUGGUGAAAACCUACAGCUUAACUGUAGACUUGCCGUUGAUACUGUCAGUCUUGAGUGUGGUCAAGGUAGGCGGAGUGUGUAAUGUAGCGGUGAAAUGCUUAGAUAUUACACAGAACACCGAUUGCGAAGGCAGCUUACUGGGCCAUUACUGACGCUGAUGCACGAAAGCGUGGGGAUCGAACAG
RNAcentral lists this ribosomal RNA (423 nucleotides) under uncultured bacterium. RNAcentral's name for it is "bacterial SSU rRNA". It matches the Rfam family "Bacterial small subunit ribosomal RNA", at positions 355 to 775 of the family's 1533-position model. The record is from RNAcentral.